Molecule: ribosomal RNA, 490 nt
Filed under: uncultured bacterium
Lineage: Bacteria
Description: partial 16S ribosomal RNA
Rfam family: Bacterial small subunit ribosomal RNA
Source: RNAcentral
AGUGAACGCUGCGGUCGGCCUCACCCCUGCAAGUCGCACGGCAGCACAGUAAGAGCUUGCUCUUACGGGUGGCGAGUGGCGGACGGGUGAGGAAUACAUCGGAAUCUACUUUUUCGUGGGGGAUAACGUAGGGAAACUUACGCUAAUACCGCAUACGACCUACGGGUGAAAGCAGGGGAUCUUCGGACCUUGCGCGAUUGAAUGAGCCGAUGUCGGAUUAGCUAGUUGGCGGGGUAAAGGCCCACCAAGGCGACGAUCCGUAGCUGGUCUGAGAGGAUGAGCGGCCAAACUGAACCUGAGAACCGGUCCAGCCUCCUACGGGAGGCAGCAGUGGGGAAUAUUGGAAAAUGGGCGAAAGCCUGAUCCAGCCAGACCGCGUGGGUGAAGAAGGCCCUCGGGCUGUAAAGCCCUUUUGUUGGGAAAGAAAAGCAGCAGGUUAAUACCCCGCUGUUCUGACGGGACCCAAAGAAUAAGCACCGGCUAACUUCGU